This 612-nucleotide long non-coding RNA is filed under the name Sinocyclocheilus anshuiensis. RNAcentral's name for it is "lncRNA (ENSSANG00000008040.1)". The record is from RNAcentral. Lineage: Eukaryota; Metazoa; Chordata; Actinopteri; Cypriniformes; Cyprinidae.
GCCAAUAUAACGGUGACCUCCACAAAUGAUUUCCCCAGCAGGACUGCCAUCUCUAGAGGUGCUGCCCCAUUACCUGAGGGUAUCCGUGAGCUUUCCGGACAGACGAUUAGUGGCAUUAGUCUCGUGGCACGGCGGAUCUCACACAGGCUCAGGGAUAUCAGAGUAGUUUCCUGCACGGCUUAAUGAGGUUUUCCCACUCAUCUUCUUCUGGGGCAGCAGACUGUAAGCCCCGACACGAGGUCCAGGCCCUCCAGUAUCCCAUCACCCCCUGCGACUAUCCAAGCUGUCACGGCAGGCUGGGCCGCGGGCGUCUGUGCCAGGGCGCGGCAGGACCGGAUCCGGCUCCUCCUCCUCCUCCAAGCUGCCCGUAUGCGAAGCUCUUCCGUUAGCCGGAAGGUUGCUUCAGUGAGGACAGAUAUCUUGAGACCAAACGAUAGGAGGACAGGACCAGAAGAUAACACAAGCUGGACUCAGAUUCACCACGCCACGUCUCCACCUGAGCUCUGUAUUAAUGCACCAAGUUGCUUCAACCCUUUACAACACCACAAACAGCCAGCAGGUAAAUGAUGAACUAUGCUUUCAGUUUUUGCCAAGAAUUAGCAUUGCUCAUUG